GGUGAACGCUGGCGGCAGGCCUAACACAUGCAAGUCGAGCGGAUGACGGGAGCUUGCUCCUUGAUUCAGCGGCGGACGGGUGAGUAAUGCCUAGGAAUCUGCCUGGUAGUGGGGGACAACGUUUCGAAAGGAACGCUAAUACCGCAUACGUCCUACGUGAGAAAGCAGGGGACCUUCGGGCCUUGCGCUAUCAGAUGAGCCUAGGUCGGAUUAGCUAGUUGGUGGGGUAAUGGCUCACCAAGGCGACGAUCCGUAACUGGUCUGAGAGGAUGAUCAGUCACACUGGAACUGAGACACGGUCCAGACUCCUACGGGAAGCAGCAGUGGGGAAUAUUGGACAAUGGGCGAAAGCCUGAUCCAGCCAUGCCGCGUGUGUGAAGAAGGUCUUCGGAUUGUAAAGCACUUUAAGUUGGGAGGAAGGGCAGUAAGUUAAUACCUUGCUGUUUUGACGUUACCGACAGAAUAAGCACCGGCUAACUCUGUGCCAGCAGCCGCAGUAA
This 500-nucleotide ribosomal RNA is filed under the name uncultured bacterium. Its description in RNAcentral is "partial 16S ribosomal RNA". It matches the Rfam family "Bacterial small subunit ribosomal RNA", at positions 28 to 523 of the family's 1533-position model. The record is from RNAcentral.